GUAGGUGAACCUGCGGAAGGAUCAUUUCCGAACAAAACAUCAUAUCAACCAACCCUGUGAAAUGUUUUGGGUGCUCUUACUGGAGGGGGUAGCUGGAGUUGUUAUGUGGAGAUUUGCUGCGCAAGCGGCAGUCUCCAUCUAGCUCAUCUCCGAUUUUUUUUACCAACUCCAGGCCUUGAUGAACUACCUUGUAACAAAGGUUGAUUUUACAUUGUCUUUUCACUUUAGGAAAGUAAAUGAUAUGACAACUUUUAACGGUGGAUCUCUUGGCUCGU
RNAcentral lists this unclassified non-coding RNA (275 nucleotides) under rhizosphere metagenome. RNAcentral describes it as "partial ribosomal RNA internal transcribed spacer region". The record is from RNAcentral.